Anastrepha ludens (Mexican fruit fly) is the source of this 370-nucleotide long non-coding RNA. RefSeq lists it as uncharacterized. The record is from RefSeq and is a predicted model, not a curated record. The transcript is spliced from 3 exons. Lineage: Eukaryota; Metazoa; Arthropoda; Insecta; Diptera; Tephritidae.
UGGUUGACAAAACAGUUUUUCUGACUAAAGUCAGGGUUUGCUUUCACAGAAAUAUUUAAUAUUUGUAUACAAAAAAUUGUAAUGGCUAAAGCUUGCGUGAUUUAACUAUUGAACUCAGCUAUUUAGUGUUUGAUCGGUAAAUAUGGAAUGUACGCGCCAAGUUUUCGAAAACAUCGCACCAAAUGCCAGGCUGAAUCCUGCCAUAAGUAUCCAGGCUCUCGCUGUGCAUAUGAAGGGAAAUGCUGCCACACUACUCAAUGUGGUGUCUAAGCCCAAAAAAAUUACGCUCAUAUAGGCUUAGCUGGUUACUGGUUUAAUAAAGAAGCACUCGAAAUGCUAUACAUACAAAUAAUUUUUAUUUCAAUUACCU